Molecule: ribosomal RNA, 497 nt
Filed under: uncultured bacterium
Lineage: Bacteria
Description: partial 16S ribosomal RNA
Rfam family: Bacterial small subunit ribosomal RNA
Source: RNAcentral
GACGAACGCUGGCGGCGUGCCUAAUACAUGCAAGUCGAACGCUGAAGAGAGGAGCUUGCUCUUCUUGGAUGAGUUGCGAACGGGUGAGUAACGCGUAGGUAACCUGCCUUGUAGCGGGGGAUAACUAUUGGAAACGAUAGCUAAUACCGCAUAACAAUGGAUGACCCAUGUUAUUUAUUUGAAAGGGGCAAAUGCUCCACCAUAAGAUGGACCUGCCUUGUAUUAGGUAGUAGGUGAGGUUAAGGGUCACCUAGGCGACGAUAGAUAACCCGCCCUAGAGGGUGGUCCGCCCACCCGGGAACGGGGCAAGGCCCCGGCCCCCACGGGGGGCAGCAGGAAGGAAACUUUCGGCAAUGGGGCAAAGCUGACCGGGGAACGCCGGGUGAGUGAAGAAGGUUCUCCGAUCGGAAAGCUCUGGUGUAAAUGAAGAACGAAAGUUGGAGUUAAAAGUUCACACUGUGACGGUAGCUUACCAGAAAGGGACGGCUAACUACGUG